RNAcentral lists this ribosomal RNA (402 nucleotides) under uncultured Inquilinus sp. RNAcentral describes it as "bacterial SSU rRNA". It matches the Rfam family "Bacterial small subunit ribosomal RNA", at positions 355 to 774 of the family's 1533-position model. Lineage: Bacteria; Pseudomonadati; Pseudomonadota; Alphaproteobacteria; Rhodospirillales; Rhodospirillaceae. The record is from RNAcentral.
UGGGGAAUAUUGGACAAUGGGGGAAACCCUGAUCCAGCCAUGCCGCGUGUGUGAUGAAGGCCUUCGGGUUGUAAAGCACUUUCGCACGUGACGAUGAUGACGGUAACGUGAGAAGAAGCCCCGGCUAACUUCGUGCCAGCAGCCGCGGUAAUACGAAGGGGGCAAGCGUUGUUCGGAAUUACUGGGCGUAAAGGGCGCGUAGGCGGUGUACUAAGUUAGGCGUGAAAGCCCUGGGCUCAACCCGGGAAUUGCGCUUGAUACUGGUACGCUAGAAUCCAGGAGAGGUUGGUGGAAUUCCCAGUGUAGAGGUGAAAUUCGUAGAGAUUGGGAAGAACACCGGUGGCGAAGGCGGCCAACUGGACUGGUAUUGACGCUGAGGCGCGAAAGCGUGGGGAGCAAACA